This 1099-nucleotide non-coding RNA is filed under the name Hevea brasiliensis (rubber tree). Lineage: Eukaryota; Viridiplantae; Streptophyta; Magnoliopsida; Malpighiales; Euphorbiaceae. The record is from RNAcentral.
AAGUGUGAGUGAGAGAGCGUUUUCAAAGCCAACAACCGAAGCCCGCGCCAACCCCCCCCCCGAUGAGGCUGUAGCGUCGUCUAGAAGAGCAAAGACCGAUGGCUCUUUCAACCGUAAAUCUGACCCGAAGCUCAGAGAUCGAUAAGUUCACUCAAUACACCGCUGAUCUCCUUCAACUUUAAAACAAAGCUCAAAGGUCCAUGAACUAUAAACCGUAGAAUUUAGCCAAGCGAAUUCGUUAUAGAUCUAGAGGCACAAUCAAUCGUAACUUUUUUAUUAAAAAAGAAGAACCCUAACUUAGCCCUCUUGCACUUCAGAGCUUGCGACUCUGCCUAAGGCCAUGGAGACAUAAAUGGAAGAAAUUUAUGAGGAUCUAUAUAAACUAAACUGCCCAAAAUAAGUUAGCCCUUGCUAGGGGUGAAAAUGGAAUCAAGAAAUAGAAAAUGUAAGAAUUAAAUAUAUCGUAGAACUGGCAUUAAAUUAAUUUUGUUUCAAUUUAUGAGUGAGCACUCUAGAUUAAUAUUAACAAAAAAAAUACUCCUGAUUUCUGAUCGACUAAUCGUUGAUCCUGUUGAUAAAUUAAAUGCAAUAAUUAAUAUGGUUAAUUUUGUUUUCUAAUUAUGUAAUUAUGAAAAAAUUAGGCUCUGUUUAAUUCAUUUUUACAAGAAAAUGUAACCUACCACUUUCUUUUUUCUAGUGAUUAAUUGUUUGAAUUUGCCUUACGGUGCUCGUUGAACAAGAUAGGGACUCUGAAUUUGUAUAAAUAUUUUGCUGAAGUUUGGCUUAGAUUGCGCCAACCACAGGAUAGAUUUACUGUACCUUUUUCACAUUUAUUAUCUGAUCAAGGAUGAGCUCUCGUUUUUUCUGGGUUCUGGCCAACGAGGAAUUGGAGAUUUGAGUUAUUUUUGUGUACAUGGGACUGACUUGCUUGCACAAGCUAGCCCUGCAGGAACAGGAAGGUUCUUGUAUUCUUUGCUGUUUCAGGAAUUGAUUGCUUUUAAAUCAAGAACUGGGUUUUACCAUAUGUUGCUUGUGUUGUUUUGGAUUUUUAAUCUGAUAAAUUUAUGUACUUUUGUCAUUUGGAUUGAAGGGAGCUCUA